CACCUCAUAAGUAAGGCUGUGAAUCAUUCGCGGAGGUCACGGAAGUCACUCCCCCGCCCCCAGCGGGGCCCCGGGCCGCUUCCCCCACCCCAGCAGGGUCCCGGGCCACUUCCCCCCCCAGCAGAAGUCUUCAGGAGCACCCCCCUCCCAGCAGGUAAAAGGGAAAGGCUAACCAAACACUGAGAGAACGGAACCUCCUUUCUUCUGAGGAUGCGUGUGGUUUGAUGAAGAACACAGCGUAAGGAGGAUCUGCCAUCAGCACUCCAAGCUCAACAACCUUUCUGAGGCAAUGGCUACGAGGAAUGUGGAUAGGAGAGACGUGGGACAAGAAGCUAAGGAUUCAAAAGGAGGCUCAGUGAGUACAGAGAUAACAAGACUCAAGUCCCAUUGAGGAGCAAGCUUUUUCAGAGGUGGAAAGAUUCUGGAAAGGCCUUAUCAGAACCUGUCAAUCAGUGGGUGUGUGAAGACUGAGUAGCCCUGUGAA
Molecule: long non-coding RNA, 484 nt
Organism: Mauremys reevesii (Reeves's turtle)
Lineage: Eukaryota; Metazoa; Chordata; Testudines; Geoemydidae
Exons: 3
Source: RefSeq, a predicted model, not a curated record